GGCAAGAUGGCCGAGUGGUCUAAGGCGCUACGUUUAGGCCGUAGUCUUUCGGGGCGUGGGUUCAAAUCCCACUCUUGUCA
This 80-nucleotide transfer RNA is filed under the name Schizophyllum commune H4-8. RNAcentral describes it as "tRNA-Leu (TAG) (tRNA-Leu-TAG-1-1, tRNA-Leu-TAG-1-2)". It matches the Rfam family "tRNA". From Rfam's summary of the family: Transfer RNA (tRNA) molecules are approximately 80 nucleotides in length. Their secondary structure includes four short double-helical elements and three loops (D, anti-codon, and T loops). Lineage: Eukaryota; Fungi; Basidiomycota; Agaricomycetes; Agaricales; Schizophyllaceae. The record is from RNAcentral.